This 381-nucleotide long non-coding RNA is filed under the name Manihot esculenta (cassava). RNAcentral describes it as "long non-coding RNA (MESC_LNC006104)". Lineage: Eukaryota; Viridiplantae; Streptophyta; Magnoliopsida; Malpighiales; Euphorbiaceae. The record is from RNAcentral.
CGAAAGCUUGCCAUUUUUCUAUGGAUAAUGAUUAAAGAACGCCUCCCUUGCAACACACUUUUGCAUGCUAAAUUAAGGCACAUUGAUCCUACCUGUAGAUGAUGCGAUGAACAAGAAACUCUUUUUCACCUAUUUUUUUCUUGUCCUCGAGCUGCGGCAAUAUGGAUACAUUCCCCCUUGAGGUUUCGCUCUACCUAGCUAUCUUUUACUUCUAUGAAGGAAGUUUGGUCAGAGCUGUCUACCUAUUUGGAAGGCUAUGAUGAUGGAGUCUUUCUCACCCAGUUGAUGAUUUUUAUCUUAUGGCAUCUGUGUGAGAGUCGGAAUGCCUUAAUUUUUCGAGGAGAAAACCAAAUUUUCUUUGAAAUUCACUCCGCAGCUCAG